CCCUUAGAUGUUCUGGGCCGCACGCGCGCUACACUGUUCGACGCAGCGAGUCUUAACCUUGACCGAAAGGUUUGGGUAAUCUUCAGCAAAGUCGAACGUGAUGGGGAUCGAUCAUUGCAAUUAUUGAUCGUGAACGAGGAAUUCCUAGUAAGUGCAAGUCAUCAGCUUGCGUCGAUUACGUCCCUGCCCUUUGUACACACCGCCCGUCGCUCCUACCGAUUGGGUGUGCUGGUGAAAUGUUCGGAUCGGCCGUUUGUCGCGGUUUCCGCGUCAUGUGGCUGAGAAGUUCAUUAAACCCUCCCACCUAGAGGAAGGAGAAGUCGUAACA
RNAcentral lists this ribosomal RNA (328 nucleotides) under uncultured eukaryote. Its description in RNAcentral is "partial 18S ribosomal RNA". It matches the Rfam family "Eukaryotic small subunit ribosomal RNA", at positions 1470 to 1796 of the family's 1831-position model. The record is from RNAcentral.